GCUUGCUCUCUGGGUGGCGAGUGGCGGAGGGUGAGGAAUGCAUCGGAAUCUACUCUUUCGUGGGGGAUAACGUAGGGAAACUUACGCUAAUACCGCAUACGACCUACGGGUGAAAGCCGGGGACCUUCGGGCCUGGCGCGAAUGAAUGAGCCGAUGCCCGAUUAGCUAGUUGGCGGGGUAAGAGCCCACCAAGGCGACGAUCGGUAGCUGGUCUGAGAGGAUGAUCAGCCACACUGGAACUGAGACACGGUCCAGACUCCUACGGGAGGCAGCAGUGGGGAAUAUUGGACAAUGGGCGCAAGCCUGAUCCAGCCAUACCGCGUGGGUGAAGAAGGCCUUCGGGUUGUAAAGCCCUUUUGUUGGGAAAGAAAAGCAAUCGGUUAAUACCCGGUUGUUCUG
This 399-nucleotide ribosomal RNA is filed under the name Stenotrophomonas acidaminiphila. RNAcentral describes it as "bacterial SSU rRNA". It matches the Rfam family "Bacterial small subunit ribosomal RNA", at positions 78 to 475 of the family's 1533-position model. Lineage: Bacteria; Pseudomonadati; Pseudomonadota; Gammaproteobacteria; Lysobacterales; Lysobacteraceae. The record is from RNAcentral.